Molecule: non-coding RNA, 782 nt
Organism: Sesamum indicum (sesame)
Lineage: Eukaryota; Viridiplantae; Streptophyta; Magnoliopsida; Lamiales; Pedaliaceae
Source: RefSeq, a predicted model, not a curated record
UUGGUAGGAUUGCUCAGACAAACAGAUGCAGAAUAUCUUCAGCCGCUACGCAACCUCCUUGACUCAAUAAAACAUUCUCAAAAGCCAGGGUGGCGGGUAAACAACCCAAUUGGUUGGGGAACGACAUUUGGCAUGAGCUCCAGGCGUAUUUGGACACUGAGUCGGACAAGAAUAAGGCUAAUUGGUUGGCCAACCUUACAUUAGCAAGCAUCGUCUGUAGGUCUUCCUCAGUCGGCAUGCAUAAAAGGAAACUCGCUUGACUCGGUCGUUCGCCUAACUGGAUGAAGGUAUUCACCGACUGCUGAAAAAGAAGGCAGAUGGCACCUGGAGCGGGAAACGGGCUGAGGAAGUUGUGGAAACUUAUCAAAAGCUGCUCGAAGUGCCUGUCUCUUAGCCCACGCCGGGAAGUAGGCCUCAUCAGAUGGUACUGUCUCAGUUGUUCAAGACAACCAGUUGUGGGCAGAGGCUUCCGACGGGAGAAAGCGGGGCCGAGUCUUCGACAUAGGGUCUGAUGCUAGAGAAGCCCGACCAUCUUUGUCUACUGUUGCUCCUUUGCCGACCGAACCAAGUUUGAUAAAAUAAUAUCGAUUUUGAAUGCAUUGUGCAUCAAGAUGGGGAUGCUAUAGAUAUUCCCAGAGGUGCAAUCAACCACUGAUGCCCCAAUUGAGGGAGCAGCACAGCCGGCAACUGAGAAUGCUGCUGACCUUGAGCUUUCAUACGAGCAAGAAGCAUUAGAUUAGAAUGUUGCUGACCUUGAGCUUUCAAACGACAAUAUUUACUUU